RNAcentral lists this ribosomal RNA (253 nucleotides) under uncultured bacterium. RNAcentral describes it as "partial 16S ribosomal RNA". It matches the Rfam family "Bacterial small subunit ribosomal RNA", at positions 524 to 776 of the family's 1533-position model. The record is from RNAcentral.
UACGAAGGGGGCGAGCGUUGUUCGGAAUUACUGGGCGUAAAGGGCGCGCAGGCGGCUCUGAAAGUCAGAUGUGUAAGCCCCGGGCUUAACCUGGGAACUGCAUUUGAUACUCUAGAGCUUGAGUACGGGAGAGGAGAGUGGAAUUCCCAGUGUAGAGGUGAAAUUCGUAGAUAUUGGGAAGAACACCGGUGGCGAAGGCGGCUCUCUGGACCGUAACUGACGCUGAGGCGCGAAAGCGUGGGGAGCAAACAGG